AGCAGCCGCGGUAAUUCCAGCUCCAAUAGCGUAUAUUAAAGUUGUUGCAGUUAAAAAGCUCGUAGUUGAAUUUCGGAAUCUGUCCGUUGGUCGGGCUUCAUUGUCCGUACUGGUGUGAUGGGUUCUUACCUUCUGAAUAACCAGCAUGCCAUUCAUUUGGUGCGUUGGGGAAGCAGGACUAUUACCUUGAAAAAAUUAGAGUGCUCAAAGCAGGCUAGCGCCUGAAUACAUUAGCAUGGAAUAAUAAAAUAGGACGGCAUGGUUCUAUUUUGUUGGUUUCUAGGAUCACCGUAAUGAUUAAUAGGGAUAGUUGGGGGCAUUAGUAUUCAAUUGUCAGAGGUGAAAUUCUUGGAUUUAUUGAAGACUAACUUCUGCGAAAGCAUUUGCCAAGGAUGUUUUCAUUAAUCAAGAACGAAAGUUAGGGGAUCGAAGACGAUCAGAUACCGUCGUAGUCUUAACCAUAAACUAUGCCGACUAGGGAUCGGACGAUGUUAAUUUUUUAAUNACNCG
This 510-nucleotide ribosomal RNA is filed under the name uncultured fungus. Its description in RNAcentral is "SSU rRNA". It matches the Rfam family "Eukaryotic small subunit ribosomal RNA", at positions 569 to 1078 of the family's 1831-position model. The record is from RNAcentral. Lineage: Eukaryota; Fungi.